Molecule: RNA transcript, 3141 nt
Organism: Tripterygium wilfordii
Lineage: Eukaryota; Viridiplantae; Streptophyta; Magnoliopsida; Celastrales; Celastraceae
Gene name: luc7-like protein 3
Exons: 9
Source: RefSeq, a predicted model, not a curated record
UGUCGCCGUAACCCUAUCCGUGUUUGGCUUGGCUUCCCGGUCCUCUCCUCUACGACUUCCUUACGCCCUUUUAAUUUAUUGACGAAACCGCACCAAACCCUACUCACCGCAGAUGAUCCACUUGAACUCCCAAUCCUCCUAGAACCCUAGCCUCUCUCCACUCGCUACAAGUCCUGCCUAAUUAUCUGGAUUUUUUAUUAUACUGUAAACCUUAGAGCUCUUCGUUUUCAGCCAUGGACGCGCAGCGAGCUUUGCUAGACGCACUCAUGGGAUCAGAAUCAUAUUCGUUGAUGUUAUUCGGAUGUUUGCUUCGAGGAGUAGAAUUUAUUCAAUGUCAGUUAACUGAAUAUUUUGCGCUUACUGGUGGAUAUUUAGCUCGUAACUUGACGGAGGAAGAGAGAAAGGGAUACAAGGAACUCACAUGGGAAGAUAGGGAGGUUUGUCGAUUCCAUAUGGUUCGGUUUUGUCCUCAUGACCUCUUUGUGAACACUCGGAGUGAUCUCGGUCCAUGCCCAAGAAUUCAUGAUCAGAAGUUGAAAGAAAGUUUUGAGAAUUCUCCAAGGCAUGAGGCUUAUGUCCCCAAGUUUGAAGCUGAACUUGCUCAGUUCUGUGAGAAAUUGGUGAUGGACUUGGAUAGAAAAGUUAGGCGUGGACGCGAACGCCUUGCUCAAGAGUUGGAGCCUGCACCUGUUACUCCCUUGGCAGCUGAAAAAUCUGAACAGCUAUCUGUGUUGGAAGAAAAGAUAAAGAACCUGCUGGGGCAAGUUGAGGCUCUUGGUGAAGCUGGAAGGGUUGAUGAAGCUGAAGCUCUUAUGAGAAAGGUGGAGCUACUGAAUGCAGAAAAGACAGUUUUGACACAACCACCACAAAAUAAUGCCUUAAUGCUUGCACAAGAGAAGAAGAUGGCUUUAUGUGAGAUAUGUGGUUCCUUUCUAGUGGCAAAUGAUGUUAUAGAGAGGAGUCAGUCUCAUGUUUCAGGGAAGCAGCAUGUUGGUUAUGGCAUGGUUCGGGAUUUCAUAGCCGAGUUUAAGGGGGCCAAGGAGAAGGCAAGAGAAGAGGAAAGGUUAACAAGGGAGAAAGAAACUGAAGAACGGAGGAAACAGAAGGAGAAGGAAACUGAGAGGAGGAGUCAUUCACAGGAUAGGGAUAGGGACAGGUAUCAUGAUCGAGACAGAGACAGAGACAGGGAGCGGGAUCGACAUAGAGGACGUGACAGGAGGUCACGAGAGUGGAAUGACAGGAGUAGUCGGGAUGAUGCAAGGGAAAUGGAACGCAGGUCCAGAAAUGGAAAAGACCGAAGCAGGGAUAGGUACCGUGACCGAAGCAGGUCGCAUUCCCCUGUUAGACAUAGUUACAGGAAGUCAUCUAGAAGUCCAGUUCGCUAAUAUUAAUGGGUUGUGUUGAUAGAUGUCUGAACUUUGACAUUUGAGGUAGUCUUUUUUUCCCAGGUUUUGAACAUGUUCUUUCAGAAACUCCGGUUAAUGUUUGUCGUGGGUGAAAAUUUUCUUUGCUAUCUCACAGCUUUGUUGAGACCUGAGAUUAUACCAUAUCACUUUCAUCAAAUAUUAUGAGAGGAUAAAAGGAUUCAGGGUGGACUCUAUAUGCUUGAAUGACACUGCUGCCAAGAGAAGUGGCUUUAUUUAUCAGUAUUGAGGUAACAAAGUAAUUUUUAUCUCCAUCAUCAUCAUACAUUUGCUUAUUUUUUUUGAUAUCACAUUUUGAUGUGGUUGGUCCAAAGCCAAAUUGUGUUUGGAGCCAGUGCUUUAUUGGUGGAAUUUACUGAAUUUUGAAAGAGAGGGGUGAUGGUGGUUUGGCCAUUCAGGGAUGAUUUUUGUAGGCCCCUUGCACAUUUCAGGUGUCCCAGUAAAUUUACUAUUUCAAAUCCAUCGUCGGAUAACGAGGUAGGAAGGCUCUUUAUUCUUUAGUUUUUGUCCGCUCCUGCCAUUUAUACAUCAGUUCAUGGAGCUUGAAUGGCGAACUAUACAUGCAUCUUUAUUUGAUUGGGCAAGUAUAGAAACCAAACUAUAUGUGCGAUCCACGGUAAAGAGUAGGGAUUUAGAAUUCCAGAAUGGAGUCAGUUUAUAUAGAUAACUUAGUAACUACAAGUACGUGCACUUGAGUGGAAUUAUUAAAAGUCGGAUUUGGAGGGGUGUUUUUGCUCUUUGCAUUAAAUAUAGUUCGGUACGUAUUUGUCAUAAAAUGGAGAUUCUUUCGUUUCCUUCCUUACCCUCUAAAAAAGAGCGAUUGAGAGUGGAUUUCAGGUUCAAUAGUGUCGAGAAGGUAUUAGCCACCGGUGAUCGUACUUUCAUAAAAGCACCAUUGGGCGGUGCCGUGCAAAACCUAGGCUCAACACUUUAGAGGUAACUAGAACUCAUUAUCUGGCAGAUAGCAUUUCUGAUUCCAUUUUGCAGGAGAGAUGGUGUAUCCUGAAACUUUAAUGCCAUAGAAAUCGUAAGCAUAUGCGGCGCACGACAGUGAGGUAUAUGCUUUUUGCAGGGUACUUGAAUUUAUCCAGCACCAGCGGUUAUUGGCCAGUGGACAACAUUUGAAAUACAUGGUAAUUUGAGAACCUAGCGUAUUUUAAAAUUCUAUCGAUCUUGCAUCCAAUCUUGUAAUAGCAAGCAACAAAAAUAUCUGUCAACUUCUUUAUGCAGUGAGAGGAAAUGGAAAGAAAAGAAAAGAUUCUUACAUGUAACAUGCGGUAGUAUUUCAUUGGGAGAGGAGCGAAGAUGUAAACAAAAUGAUUCUCGAAAGACAAAAACACAAGUGACGUCUCACUUUCUCCCUUUCUUUCUAGCUAUCAUUCUUCUUGGCCCUUCAAACCCAAAGUUUGUUUAUUGUUGUGAUUUGAUGGAACCGAUUCUUAUCCAAUAAAUUUGUUGGUCUCUGUGCAUCUUAGAAUUGCCUUCAGGAGUUUGACCCAUUUUAAUGUGCAGAUAGAAUGAAUAUUUUUAGGACUUGCAACCAGCGAAUUCUGUGAGCGUAAUUGUGAAUAAUCUUCUCCAGAUGUGAAAUGAACGUUGUUUUCUUUCAGCGUUACAUGCUUUUAUCACUUGUAAUUGGGUACGUAUCCCUUGUAUACCAAACAUUUUGAAGGCUUGCAAUGCAUGAUAUGGGUCCUAGUCUCACCUCUUCUCAUCA